RNAcentral lists this ribosomal RNA (479 nucleotides) under uncultured bacterium. RNAcentral describes it as "bacterial SSU rRNA". It matches the Rfam family "Bacterial small subunit ribosomal RNA", at positions 50 to 518 of the family's 1533-position model. The record is from RNAcentral.
AACACAUGCAAGUCGAGGGGCAGCAUUGGGAUAGCUUGCUAUUCAGAUGGCGACCGGCGCACGGGUGAGUAACGCGUAUCCAACCUUCCUGCCAGUAGGGAACAGCCCGGCGAAAGUCGGAUUAAUGCCCUAUGUUCUUCAAUGCGGACAUCUAAGUUGAAGGAAAGAUUCAUCGCUGGCAGAUGGGGAUGCGUCCGAUUAGCUUGCCGGCGGGGUAACGGCCCACCGGGGCGACGAUCGGUAGGGGUUCUGAGAGGAAGGUCCCCCACACUGGUACUGAGACACGGACCAGACUCCUACGGGAGGCAGCAGUGAGGAAUAUUGGUCAAUGGGCGUAAGCCUGAACCAGCCAAGUAGCGUGCAAGGAUGACGGCCCUACGGGUUGUAAACUGCUUUUAUGCGGGGAUAAAGUGCGGCACGUGUGCCGCUUUGCAGGUACCGCAUGAAUAAGGACCGGCUAAUUCCGUGCCAGCCGCCGC